Molecule: long non-coding RNA, 806 nt
Filed under: Lactuca sativa (garden lettuce)
Lineage: Eukaryota; Viridiplantae; Streptophyta; Magnoliopsida; Asterales; Asteraceae
Description: long non-coding RNA (LSAT_LNC006357)
Source: RNAcentral
GCUACGAGAAACACUCCCUGCUACCUUCUUUUUUUUCGCCAUUGGACCAGAAACAUUAGUAUCCACCUUUGUCCCUUCCUGUUUCGAUGACCAAGCCCCAACCCGAACACCCAUCGAUUCCCUAUCAAACAGCAACACCCAAAACAUUCAUUCCCUUCAUCUGUUUCUAUCAAAACAAAAAAAAAAAAAAAAAAAAAAAAAAAAAGAAAAAAAAGAAGAAGAAGAAGAACAGGGGAGCUACCGGAGUAGACCCUCCCAUCCACUUACCUGCUACCAAUCGAAGCAGCAGCCCCACCCCCGCUGCUUCCAUUUUUUUCCCUCUUCGGUCCAGCCAAGCACCGAAGGUGCCUCCCUUUUCAACCACCGAUCGCAAAUGGCCUCAUCGCAACACCCACUGAGACCGACGACCCACCCCUCACACCCUCCCCUUCUUCUUCCGUCGAGCAAACCCCACCGAAGACCUCGUCUUCGUCACUGCUGCUGCUCGCGACACCUCACCGGAGACCCCCUUUCCCCUCGUUUUCUUUCUCUGUUGUUGCCAUCGACCAUAGAGCUCCGAAGAUUCGUCUUUGGUGCUACCGCUGCUAGCGACGCCCGGACUCCCUAUCAGACCUCCUUCCUUCGCACCUCACAGCCGAAUGGGAAUGAGCGAAACUUCGCUGCUUCUUCACGCCUUCGUUGCUUCGGUCUCGUCGACCCCGGAGACAAUCUCGGCUUGCGAAUCGACCGACGAAGCCUUACGCUCCAUUCUGCCACCGUCGUUGUUCGUAUCUAUGUCGUUCCUUCGUGUUCGACUUCCUUUCGUU